AAGACUGUACUUUCAGGGAUCAUUUCUGUAGUUCGUUACUAGAGGGGUUUCUCUGGAUGUUGCAGAGCACCGAAACCAUCAGGAGGAGGCGGCACAGCGUUCUCUCCUGAGUGUGAAGCCGGCUUUUGGUGUUGCUUUUGCAACUACCAAUAGCCCUCGAUGACAGUUCUUCUCUUCCUUUGGAAGAGUAAGAAGAAGAGAACACAGUCCAGGUGGC
Phyllostomus hastatus (greater spear-nosed bat) is the source of this 217-nucleotide small nucleolar RNA. RefSeq annotates it as small nucleolar RNA U3. NCBI's taxonomy places the organism in Eukaryota, Metazoa, Chordata, Mammalia, Chiroptera, Phyllostomidae. The record is from RefSeq and is a predicted model, not a curated record. The transcript has a single exon.